CCUACGGGAGGCAGCAGUGAGGAAUAUUGGUCAAUGGACGAGAGUCUGAACCAGCCAAGUAGUGUGAAGGAUGACUGCCCUAUGGGUUGUAAACUUCUUUUAUAUGGGAAUAAAAUGUUCCACGUGUGGGAUUUUGUAUGUACCAUAUGAAUAAGGAUCGGCUAACUCCGUGCCAGCAGCCGCGGUAAUACGGAGGAGCCGAGCGUUAUCCGGAUUUAUUGGGUUUAAAGGGAGCGUAGGUGGAUUGUUAAGUCAGUUGUGAAAGUUUGCGGCUCAACCGUAAAAUUGCAGUUGAAACUGGCAGUCGUGAGUACAGUAGAGGUGGGCGGAAUUCGUGGUGUAGCGGUGAAAUGCUUAGAUAUCACGAAGAACUCCGAUUGCGAAGGCAGCUCACUGGACUGCAACUGACACUGAGGCUCGAAAGUGUGGGUAUCAAACAGGAUUAGAUACCCGAGUAGUC
This 460-nucleotide ribosomal RNA is filed under the name uncultured bacterium. RNAcentral describes it as "partial 16S ribosomal RNA". It matches the Rfam family "Bacterial small subunit ribosomal RNA", at positions 338 to 795 of the family's 1533-position model. The record is from RNAcentral.